RNAcentral lists this ribosomal RNA (406 nucleotides) under uncultured bacterium. RNAcentral describes it as "partial 16S ribosomal RNA". It matches the Rfam family "Bacterial small subunit ribosomal RNA", at positions 30 to 526 of the family's 1533-position model. The record is from RNAcentral.
AUUGAACGCUGGCGGCAGGCCUAACACAUGCAAGUCGAACGAGUGGCGGACUGGUGAGUAAUGUCUGGGAAACUUCCUGAUGGAGGGGGAUAACUACUGGAAACGGUAGCUAAUACCGCAUACCAUCAGAUGUGCCCAGCUGGGAUUAGCUAGUCGGUGGGGUAACGGCUCACCAAGUCGACGAUCCCUAGCUGGUCUGAGAGGAUGACCAGCCACACUGGAGCUGAGACACGGUCAAGACUCCUACGGGAGGCGGCAGUGGGGAAUAUUGCACAAUGGGCGCAAGCCUGAUGCAGCCAGGCCGCGUGUAUGAAGAAGGCCUUCGGGUUGUAAAGUACUUUCAGCGGGGAGGGGUUACCCGCAGAAGAAGCACCGGCUAACUCCGUGCCAGCAGCCGCGGUAAUUC